GACGAACGCUGGCGGCGUGCUUAACACAUGCAAGUCGAACGGAAAGGCCCUGCUUUUGUGGGGUGCUCGAGUGGCGAACGGGUGAGUAACACGUGAGUAACCUGCCCUUGACUUUGGGAUAACUUCAGGAAACUGGGGCUAAUACCGGAUAGGAGCUCCUGCUGCAUGGUGGGGGUUGGAAAGUUUCGGCGGUUGGGGAUGGACUCGCGGCUUAUCAGCUUGUUGGUGGGGUAGUGGCUUACCAAGGCUUUGACGGGUAGCCGGCCUGAGAGGGUGGCCGGCCACAUUGGGACUGAGAUACGGCCCAGACUCCUACGGGAGGCAGCAGUGGGGAAUAUUGCACAAUGGGCGGAAGCCUGAUGCAGCAACGCCGCGUGCGGGAUGACGGCCUUCGGGUGGUAAACCGCUUUCGCCUGUGACGAAGCGUGAGUGACGGUAAUGGGUAAAGAAGCACCGGCUAACUACGU
RNAcentral lists this ribosomal RNA (467 nucleotides) under uncultured bacterium. Its description in RNAcentral is "partial 16S ribosomal RNA". It matches the Rfam family "Bacterial small subunit ribosomal RNA", at positions 28 to 506 of the family's 1533-position model. The record is from RNAcentral.